GGGGGUGUAGCUCAGCGGGAGAGCGCGUGCUUAGCGUGCACGAGGCCCCGGGUUCGAUCCCCGGCACCUCCA
This is a non-coding RNA of Prionailurus viverrinus (fishing cat), 72 nucleotides long. The record is from the annotation of a RefSeq genome assembly. NCBI's taxonomy places the organism in Eukaryota, Metazoa, Chordata, Mammalia, Carnivora, Felidae.